GUCAUACGCUCGUCUCAAAGAUUAAGCCAUGCAUGUGUAAGUAUAAAUAGUUAACUUUGAAACUGCGAAUGGCUCAUUAUAUCAGUUAUAGUUUAUUUGAUGAAGAAUACUAAUUGGAUAACCGUAGUAAUUCUAGAGCUAAUACAUGUAUAAAGUCUUGUAGACUGCAUUUAUUAGAAUGAAAACCAUAGGUUUCGGCCUAUUCGUGAGUAAUAAUAACUAAUCAUAUCGUAUGCUUAUGUAACGAUGUGUCUUGCAAGUUUCUGCCCUAUCAGCUUUCGAUGGUAGUGUAUUGGACUACCAUGGCAGUAACGGGUAACGAA
RNAcentral lists this ribosomal RNA (323 nucleotides) under Blastocystis sp. subtype 3. RNAcentral's name for it is "SSU rRNA". It matches the Rfam family "Eukaryotic small subunit ribosomal RNA", at positions 23 to 366 of the family's 1831-position model. The record is from RNAcentral. Lineage: Eukaryota; Bigyra; Opalinata; Blastocystidae.